AUACGGAGGGGGUUAGCGUUGUUCGGAAUUACUGGGCGUAAAGCGCACGUAGGCGGACUGGAAAGUUGGGGGUGAAAUCCCGGGGCUCAACCCCGGAACUGCCUCCAAAACUUCCAAUCUAGAGAUCGAGAGAGGUGAGUGGAAUUCCAAGUGUAGAGGUGAAAUUCGUAGAUAUUUGGAGGAACACCAGUGGCGAAGGCGGCUCACUGGCUCGAUACUGACGCUGAGGUGCGAAAGCGUGGGGAGCAAACAGGAUUAGAAACCCCUGUAGUCC
RNAcentral lists this ribosomal RNA (274 nucleotides) under uncultured bacterium. RNAcentral's name for it is "partial 16S ribosomal RNA". It matches the Rfam family "Bacterial small subunit ribosomal RNA", at positions 523 to 796 of the family's 1533-position model. The record is from RNAcentral.